Molecule: ribosomal RNA, 559 nt
Filed under: Amathia cf. gracilis AW-2011
Lineage: Eukaryota; Metazoa; Bryozoa; Gymnolaemata; Ctenostomatida; Vesiculariidae
Description: partial 16S ribosomal RNA
Source: RNAcentral
AUAGUCCUAAAACAAUAAUUAUAUUAAAUUCAUUCCUACAUAGGAAGUAAUAAAGUUUAAUAAAUGAACUUUAAUUAAAAUGGUAGUAUAAGUAAAGCUAUUAAUAAACUGUUUAAUAGUAAAAAAUAUCAAGAAAGGAACUCGGCAAAAAAGAACAAAGACUGUUUAUCAAAAACAUAGCCUCCUGUAACAAUAAGAGGUAUUACUGCCCAAUGAAAGAUAUUUUUAAUGGACUCGUUGGGGUUAAAGUAGCGUGAUAAUUUGUCCUUUUAUUGAGGACCUGUAUGAAAGUAAAAACGAGGUUCAACUGUCUCCCUUGAUAAAAUUAAAAUUAUUUAACAAGUGAAAAUACUUGUAUAAAAUUGAAGGACGAUAAGACCCUAUAGAGUUUUAAUAAAACAUCUUCAACCUUAAAAAAGCUUGAGAUGGGAGUUUUAGUUGGGGAAACAUAGGAGCAUAACUCUCCUAUAAAAAUAAUUUUAUAUAUAAAAUCAAUAAAUCCUCCAAGAGCUAAAGAAAAACUACCUUAGGGAUAACAGCGUAAUCCUUCUUAAGAGAC